AACGAACGCUGGCGGCAUGCCUAACACAUGCAAGUCGAACGAGACCUUCGGGUCUAGUGGCGCACGGGUGCGUAACGCGUGGGAACCUACCCUUAGGUUCGGAAUAACUCCCCGAAAGGGGUGCUAAUACCGGAUAAUGUCUUCGGACCAAAGAUUUAUCGCCUUUGGAUGGGCCCGCGUUGGAUUAGCUAGUUGGUAGGGUAAAAGCCUACCAAGGCGACGAUCCAUAGCUGGUCUGAGAGGAUGAUCAGCCACACUGGGACUGAGACACGGCCCAGACUCCUACGGGAGGCAGCAGUGGGGAAUAUUGGACAAUGGGCGAAAGCCUGAUCCAGCAAUGCCGCGUGAGUGAUGAAGGCCUUAGGGUUGUAAAGCUCUUUUACCCGGGAUGAUAAUGACAGUACCGGGAGAAUAAGCUCCGGCUAACUCCG
This 431-nucleotide ribosomal RNA is filed under the name uncultured bacterium. Its description in RNAcentral is "partial 16S ribosomal RNA". It matches the Rfam family "Bacterial small subunit ribosomal RNA", at positions 29 to 505 of the family's 1533-position model. The record is from RNAcentral.